UGGGGAAUAUUGCGCAAUGGGGGCAACCCUGACGCAGCAACGCCGCGUGCGGGACGAAGGCGUCCGCGUCGUAAACCGCUUUCAGCAGGGAAGACACCGACGGUACCUGCAGAAGAAGCCCCGGCUAACUACGUGCCAGCAGCCGCGGUAACACGUAGGGGGCGAGCGUUAUCCGGAUUCAUUGGGCGUAAAGCGCGCGCAGGCGGCCGCUCAAGCGGGACCUCUAAUCCCGGGGCUCAACCCCGGGCCGGGUCCCGAACUGGGCGGCUCGCUUCGGGUAGGGGAGAGCGGAAUUCCCGGUGUAGCGGUGGAAUGCGCAGAUAUCGGGAAGAACACCGACGGCGAAGGCAGCUCUCUGGGCCCUGAAGGACGCUGAGGCGCGAAAGCCGGGGGAGCGAACAGG
This 403-nucleotide ribosomal RNA is filed under the name uncultured prokaryote. RNAcentral's name for it is "bacterial SSU rRNA". It matches the Rfam family "Bacterial small subunit ribosomal RNA", at positions 355 to 776 of the family's 1533-position model. RNAcentral also lists the same sequence under 1 other name. The record is from RNAcentral.